GGCGGAUGUAGCCAAGUGGAUCAAGGCAGGGGAUUUGGGGA
This 41-nucleotide transfer RNA is filed under the name Pomaria melanosticta. RNAcentral's name for it is "partial tRNA-His". Lineage: Eukaryota; Viridiplantae; Streptophyta; Magnoliopsida; Fabales; Fabaceae. The record is from RNAcentral.